Molecule: ribosomal RNA, 468 nt
Filed under: uncultured bacterium
Lineage: Bacteria
Description: partial 16S ribosomal RNA
Rfam family: Bacterial small subunit ribosomal RNA
Source: RNAcentral
GACGAACGCUGGCGGCGUGCUUAACACAUGCAAGUCGAACGGAAAGGCCAUGCUCUUGCGGGGUGCUCGAGUGGCGAACGGGUGAGUAACACGCGAGUAAACUGCCCUUGACUUUGGGAUAAAUUCAGGAAACUGGGGCUAAUAUCGGAUAGGAGCUCCUGCUGCAUGGUGGGGGGUGGAAAGUUUCGGCGGUUGGGGAUGGACUCGCGGCUUAUGAGCUUGUUGGUGGGGUAGUGGCUUACCAAGGCUUUGACGGGUAGCCGGCCUGGGAGGGUGACCGGCCACAUUGGGACUGAGAUACGGCCCAGACUCCUACGGGAGGCAGCAGUGGGGAGUAUUGCACAAUGGGCGGAAGCCUGAUGCAGCAACGCCGCGUGCGGGAUGACGGCCUUCGGGUUGUAAACCGCUUUCGCCUGUGACGAAGCGUGAGUGACGGUAAUGGGUAAAGAAGCACCGGCUAACUACGUG